GGGAAUACUACAAAGCUAGGGAGUGGGAGAGGUAGACGGUACUCGGUAGGAAGGGGUAAAAUCCUUUGAUCUAUUGAUGACCACCUGUGGCGAAGGCGGUCUACCAGAACACGUCCGACGGUGAGGGAUGNNGCUGGGGGAGCAAACCGGAUUAGAUACCCGGGUAGUCCCAGCCGUAAACCAUGCAAACUCAGUGAUGCAUUGGCUUGUGGCCAAUGCAGUGCUGCAGGGAAGCCGUUAAGUUUGCCGCCUGGGAAGUACGUACGCAAGUAUGAAACUUAAAGGAAUUGGCGGGGGAGCACCACAAGGGGUGAAGCCUGCGGUUCAAUUGGAGUCAACGCCAGAAAUCUUACCCGGAGAGACAGCAGAAUGAAGGUCAAGCUGAAGACUUUACCAGACAAGCUGAGAGGUGGUGCAUGGCCGUCGCCAGCUCGUGCCGUGAGAUGUCCUGUUAAGUCAGGUAACGAGCGAGAUCCCUGCCUCUAGUUGCCACCAUUACUCUCAGGAGUAGUGGGGCGAAUUAGCGGGACCGCCACAGUUAAUGUGGAGGAAGGAAGGGGCCACGGCAGGUCAGUAUGCCCCGAAACUCUGGGGCCACACGCGGGCUGCAAUGGUAGUGACAAUGUGUUCCAAAUCCGAAAGGAGGAGGUAAUCCUCAAACACUACCACAGUUUUGAUUGAGGGCUGCGACUCGCCCUCACGAAUAUGGAAUCCCUAGUAACUGCGUGUCAUUAUCGCGCGGUGAAUACGUCCCUGCUCCUUGCACACACCGCCCGU
This 777-nucleotide ribosomal RNA is filed under the name uncultured archaeon. Its description in RNAcentral is "bacterial SSU rRNA". It matches the Rfam family "Archaeal small subunit ribosomal RNA", at positions 577 to 1353 of the family's 1478-position model. The record is from RNAcentral.